ACGAACGCUGGCGGCAUGCCUGACACAUGCAAGUCGAACGAGACCUUCGGGUCUAGUGGCGCACGGGUGCGUAACGCGUGGGAACCUGCCCUUAGGUUCGGAAUAACUCCCCGAAAGGGGUGCUAAUACCGGAUAAUGUCUUCGGACCAAAGAUUUAUCGCCUUUGGAUGGGCCCGCGUUGGAUUAGCUAGUUGGUAGGGUAAAAGCCUACCAAGGCGACGAUCCAUAGCUGGUCUGAGAGGAUGAUCAGCCACACUGGGACUGAGACACGGCCCAGACUCCUACGGGAGGCAGCAGUGGGGAAUAUUGGACAAUGGGCGAAAGCCUGAUCCAGCAAUGCCGCGUGAGUGAUGAAGGCCUUAGGGUUGUAAAGCUCUUUUACCCGGGAUGAUAAUGACAGUACCGGGAGAAUAAGCUCCGGCUAACUCCGUG
Molecule: ribosomal RNA, 432 nt
Filed under: uncultured bacterium
Lineage: Bacteria
Description: partial 16S ribosomal RNA
Rfam family: Bacterial small subunit ribosomal RNA
Source: RNAcentral